CUUUUGUUGGGUUUGGGGCUGGGACUCUUGGAGUUCUCUGUGCCAAUAAAAUUCUGGGGGGUUGGAAUUUUGGGGUUUGGAGUUUCUGGGUUUGGAAUUUUGGGGGUUUGGGAUUUCAGGGUUGGGAUUUCAGGUUUGGGAUUUUGGGGGUUGGAAAUUCAGGGUUUGGGAUUUUGGGGGUUUGGGAUUUUGGGGGUUGGAAUUUCUGGGGUUGGGAUUUUGGGGUUCCUGCAGUUCUGUGGGGUCAGGGAGGGGUUGGGGUGGGAGGGACCUCAAAGCCCAUGGGGACACUUUGGGGACACCUUGGGGACAUCCUCGGGACACCAUGGGGAGAGCUUGGGGACGUCUCUGGGGACACCUUGGGGACAACCUGGGGACACUUCCUGCCACCCCAGGUGGCUCCAGCCGUGUCCCUGUCCCUGCCUGGUGUCCCACUCCCUGUCCCCAUGCCCAUCCUUGUCCCUGCCCUCAUCCCUGUCCCCACCCUCAUCCCUGUCCCAUCCUGUCCCUGUCCCCUGUCCCUUUCUUGUCCCAUUCUCUGUCCCUGUCCCCUCUGCCCUGUCCCUGUCAUCCCUGUCCCAUUCUCUGUCCCUGUCCCCAUCCCUGUCCCCUGUCCCUUUCUUGUCCUAUUUUCUGUCCCUUGUCCCCUCUCCCCAUUCCCAUCCCUGUCCCCUCUCCCUGUCCCUGUCCCCAUCCCUGUCCCCUGUCCCCAUUUCCUCUCUUUGUCCCUUGUCCCCUCUCCCCUGUCCCUCAUCCCUGUCCCCUCCCGAGGCCGAGCCCCGCCCUCCCGGGAGCUUUAAUUACCCAGCCCAAUUAAUCCCGGCCCAAUUAAUCGCGGCUAAUUGGCCGGGCGGGAGCUGCAGCUGGGGAGGAUUUGCUGCAGCUGCAGCGCGUUCCUUUUAUGACAUUGCAUUGUGCUUAUUUAUUAGAGCUUUAUUUCUGUUUCCUUCUAUUUAUUUAUUGUAUUAUAUAUUUAUUUCUGUUUCAUUACAUUUAUUUAGUAUUUAUUUCUCAGAAAUUACAAAUAUUGGCUUUGGGCUUGGGGUGGCAACUCCUGCUUUGGGAGUUAUUGUUCAGUACAACCCGAUUAUGUUUCUUUAUUAUUAA
RNAcentral lists this long non-coding RNA (1107 nucleotides) under Taeniopygia guttata (zebra finch). RNAcentral's name for it is "lncRNA (ENSTGUG00000027599.1)". The record is from RNAcentral. Lineage: Eukaryota; Metazoa; Chordata; Aves; Passeriformes; Estrildidae.